Molecule: long non-coding RNA, 440 nt
Filed under: Brassica napus (rape)
Lineage: Eukaryota; Viridiplantae; Streptophyta; Magnoliopsida; Brassicales; Brassicaceae
Description: long non-coding RNA (BNAP_LNC006612)
Source: RNAcentral
ACCAGUGGCACAACCCAAGUUCAUGAGACGACCCUCGGCCAAAACAAUGAUUCCGGACUUGGUGUCUGGGAACACCCACCUGUCGGUCUGGGGCUUGAUGGUGAUACGCUUCACUCCAGGGAAGGUCUCAAGUCCUUGCAUGUCAAUCUCGUUGUCAAAGUGACCAAUGUUGCAGACGAUAGCGUUGUUCUUCAUCUUCCUCAUGUGGUCAACCAUGAUGAUGUCUUUGUUACCGGUGGUGGUGACAAAGAUGUCAGCUUCAGAGACGACAUCCUCAAGGGUCAGAACUUGAAGCCCUUCCAUCAUAGCUUGUAGGGCACAGAUGGGAUCGAUCUCGGUCACAAUGACUCUAGCACCAGCGGUUUUCAUGGCAGCUGCACAACCCUUUCCGACAUCACCAUAACCACAGAUAACCGCAACCUUUCCGGCGAUCAUGACAU